RNAcentral lists this ribosomal RNA (468 nucleotides) under uncultured bacterium. RNAcentral describes it as "partial 16S ribosomal RNA". It matches the Rfam family "Bacterial small subunit ribosomal RNA", at positions 28 to 507 of the family's 1533-position model. The record is from RNAcentral.
GACGAACGCUGGCGGCGUGCUUAACACAUGCAAGUCGAACGGAAAGGCCCUGCUUUUGUGGGGUGCUCGAGUGGCGAACGGGUGAGUAACACGUGAGUAACCUGCCCUUGACUUUGGGAUAACUUCAGGAAACUGGGGCUACUACCGGAUAGGAGCUCCUGCUGCAUGGUGGGGGUUGGAAAGUUUCGGCGGUUGGGGAUGGACUCGCGGCUUAUCAGCUUGCUGGUGGGGUAGUGGCUUACCCAGGCUUUGACGGGUAGCCGGCCUGAGAGGGUGACCGGCCACAUUGGGACUGAGAUACGGCCCAGACUCCUACGGGAGGCAGCAGUGGGGAAUAUUGCACAAUGGGCGGAAGCCUGAUGCAGCAACGCCGCGGGCGGGAUGACGGCCUUCGGGUUGUAAACCGCUUUCGCCUGUGACGAAGCGGGAGUGACGGUAAUGGGUAAAGAAGCACCGGCUAACUACGUG